AAAAUAUUAGCUCUAUUUUACUGAAUCUAUAGGGUUGAUGAAAGCAGAUGUUUCAGUUAGCAAUUGUACUCCAAAAAUUUCAAAUCAGGUAUAUACAGAAAGCAUUUUGAGUCUAGCUUCGAAUAAAUCAUACUUUGUAUGAAUCUGAGUUCACAGCAGAAAGUUAUAAGUAGUUAAGCAACAAGAGAUCAGAAAUUUCAGUCCCUAUUUUGCAGAAUUUGUAGGGUUAAUUGAAACAGAAGUCUUAGUAGGCAUUUAAACUCCAAAUCAUUCAAUCUUAGUGUCAAAAUAAAGAUAUUUGAGUCUACUUUCAAAUGGAUUAGGUUUGCCUAAAUUAGAGUUUAGUGCUAAAAG
RNAcentral lists this long non-coding RNA (354 nucleotides) under Musa acuminata (dwarf banana). Its description in RNAcentral is "long non-coding RNA (MACU_LNC011131)". Lineage: Eukaryota; Viridiplantae; Streptophyta; Magnoliopsida; Zingiberales; Musaceae. The record is from RNAcentral.